GCCCGGUUAGCUCAUUUGGUAGAGCAUGAGACUCUUAAUCUCAGGGUCGUGGGUUUGAGCCCCACGCUGGGCG
RNAcentral lists this transfer RNA (73 nucleotides) under Loxodonta africana (African savanna elephant). RNAcentral's name for it is "tRNA-Lys (CTT) (tRNA-Lys-CTT-11-1)". It matches the Rfam family "tRNA". Rfam says of the family: Transfer RNA (tRNA) molecules are approximately 80 nucleotides in length. Their secondary structure includes four short double-helical elements and three loops (D, anti-codon, and T loops). Further hydrogen bonds mediate the characteristic L-shaped molecular structure. tRNAs have two regions of fundamental functional importance: the anti-codon, which is responsible for specific mRNA codon recognition, and the 3' end, to which the tRNAs corresponding amino acid is attached (by aminoacyl-tRNA synthetases). tRNAs cope with the degeneracy of the genetic code in two manners: having more than one tRNA (with a specific anti-codon) for a particular amino acid; and 'wobble' base-pairing, i.e. permitting non-standard base-pairing at the 3rd anti-codon position. Lineage: Eukaryota; Metazoa; Chordata; Mammalia; Proboscidea; Elephantidae. The record is from Rfam by way of RNAcentral.